Transfer RNA from Fomitopsis pinicola, 129 nucleotides. It matches the Rfam family "tRNA". Rfam says of the family: Transfer RNA (tRNA) molecules are approximately 80 nucleotides in length. Their secondary structure includes four short double-helical elements and three loops (D, anti-codon, and T loops). Further hydrogen bonds mediate the characteristic L-shaped molecular structure. tRNAs have two regions of fundamental functional importance: the anti-codon, which is responsible for specific mRNA codon recognition, and the 3' end, to which the tRNAs corresponding amino acid is attached (by aminoacyl-tRNA synthetases). tRNAs cope with the degeneracy of the genetic code in two manners: having more than one tRNA (with a specific anti-codon) for a particular amino acid; and 'wobble' base-pairing, i.e. permitting non-standard base-pairing at the 3rd anti-codon position. NCBI's taxonomy places the organism in Eukaryota, Fungi, Basidiomycota, Agaricomycetes, Polyporales, Fomitopsidaceae. The record is from Rfam.
GGACCCUUAGCUCAGCGGUAGAGCAUCUGAUUCCAGCUUGUACUUGCUUAUGUAAGCAACCAAAUUUGUAUAUUUGGAAACCUGGGCACAGCAUCCAGAAGGUCGUCCGUUCAAUCCGGGCAGGGUUCA